CACUAACUGGAGGACCGAACCGACUAAUGUUGAAAAAUUAGCGGAUGACUUGUGGCUGGGGGUGAAAGGCCAAUCAAACCGGGAGAUAGCUGGUUCUCCCCGAAAGCUAUUUAGGUAGCGCCUCGUGAAUUCAUCUCCGGGGGUAGAGCACUGUUUCGGCAAGGGGGUCAUCCCGACUUACCAACCCGAUGCAAACUGCGAAUACCGGAGAAUGUUAUCACGGGAGACACACGGCGGGUGCUAACGUCCGUCGUGAAGAGGGAAACAACCCAGACCGCCAGCUAAGGUCCCAAAGUCAUGGUUAAGUGGGAAACGAUGUGGGAAGGCCCAGACAGCCAGGAUGUUGGCUUAGAAGCAGCCAUCAUUUAAAGAAAGCGUAAUAGCUCACUGGUCGAGUCGGCCUGCGCG
Molecule: ribosomal RNA, 408 nt
Filed under: Escherichia coli
Lineage: Bacteria; Pseudomonadati; Pseudomonadota; Gammaproteobacteria; Enterobacterales; Enterobacteriaceae
Description: partial 23S ribosomal RNA
Rfam family: Bacterial large subunit ribosomal RNA
Source: RNAcentral